This 711-nucleotide ribosomal RNA is filed under the name uncultured eukaryote. RNAcentral's name for it is "eukaryotic LSU rRNA". The stretch from base 301 to 453 matches the Rfam family "5.8S ribosomal RNA". The record is from RNAcentral.
UCCGUAGGUGANACCUGCGGAAGGAUCAUUAUCGAAUUCGUUCGCUUCAUGCGAGCAAGUUUGAAAAAACCUCGGGCAUUUUGCCUCGGGUCGGCGGCUCGCCUGCCGCCGACUUUGACGUCCGUCGGGUGCGACCGAGGCCGCCAGGUCUCUCGCAACAGCCCGCGGGCGGCCUCCUGGCGGGUGCGACUGACGCUUAAAGCUCUUCGCCCGUUUCAGGAGGUUUCCUGUUGCUCUCCCGUGAGGAGCUCUGCAACCGUCGAUUGAACUUCGGCCGAUUGUGGUCAACUACCUAUUGAAAAUACUGAGCAGUGGAUCACUUGGCUCGGGGGUCGAUGAAGAACGCAGCAAACUGCGCGUCGGAAUGUGAACUGCAGGACAUAUGAGCAUCGACACUUUGAACGCAUAUUGCGGGCUGUGAUUUGUUCACCGCCCAUGUCUGGCUCAGGGUCGGUUUGUCAUCCAUCCAGCUUCUUGCUGGCAUUGGGCAUCUCCCUCUCUCACGAGAGGGUGGCCUCAAGUUUGACUGUGCGAGACUGCGCACGGAGUGCUGACUCUCGGGUUGUUCUUCAGCCUGGGUUGGCGUUAAGCUCCUGCGUUUGCUCGUGCUCGAGACCGGGGGAACUUUUGUUUUCCCCGUCUCCCUUUAUUCACGACCUGAGAGCAGGCAAGGUUACCCGCCAAAUUUAAGCAUAUCAAUAAGCGGAUGAA